ACUCCUACGGGAGGCAGCAGUGGGGAAUAUUGGACAAUGGGCGAAAGCCUGAUCCAGCAAUACCGCGUGUGUGAAGAAGGCCUGAGGGUUGUAAAGCACUUUCAAUUGGGAGGAAAACAGGCGAGGAUAAUAUCUCGUCUCUUGACAUUACCUUUAGAAGAAGCACCGGCUAACUCCGUGCCAGCAGCCGCGGUAAUACGGAGGGUGCAAGCGUUAAUCGGAAUUACUGGGCGUAAAGCGUGCGUAGGCGGUUAAUUAAGUCAGAUGUGAAAGCCCCGGGCUUAACCUGGGAACUGCAUUUGAAACUGGUUAGCUAGAGUAUGGUAGAGGAAAGUAGAAUUUCUGGUGUAGCGGUGAAAUGCGUAGAUAUCAGAAAGAAUACCAAUGGCGAAGGCAACUUUCUGGACCAAUACUGACGCUGAGGUACGAAAGCGUGGGGAGCAAACAGGAUUAGAUACCCCAGUAGUCC
RNAcentral lists this ribosomal RNA (469 nucleotides) under uncultured Gammaproteobacteria bacterium. Its description in RNAcentral is "bacterial SSU rRNA". It matches the Rfam family "Bacterial small subunit ribosomal RNA", at positions 335 to 796 of the family's 1533-position model. Lineage: Bacteria; Pseudomonadati; Pseudomonadota; Gammaproteobacteria. The record is from RNAcentral.